GACGAACGCUGGCGGCGUGCUUAACACAUGCAAGUCGAACGGAAAGGCCCUGCUUUUGUGGGGUGCUCGAGUGGCGAACGGGUGAGUAACACGUGAGUCACCUGCCCUUGACUUUGGGAUCACUUCAGGAAACUGGGGCUACUACCGGAUAGGAGCUCCUGCUGCAUGGUGGGGGUUGGAAAGUUUCGGCGGUUGGGGAUGGACUUGCGGCUUAUCAGCUUGUUGGUGGGGUAGUGGCUUACCAAGGCUUUGACGGGUAGCCGGCCUGAGAGGGUGACCGGCCACAUUGGGACUGAGAUACGGCCCAGACGCCUACGGGAGGCAGCAGUGGGGAAUAGUGCACAAUGGGCGGAAGCCUGAGUCAGCAACGCCGCGUGCGGGAUGACGGCCUUCUGGUUGUAAACCGCUUGCGCCUGGGACGAAGCGGGAGUGACGGUAAUGGGUAAAGAAGCACCGGCUAACUACGUG
RNAcentral lists this ribosomal RNA (468 nucleotides) under uncultured bacterium. RNAcentral describes it as "partial 16S ribosomal RNA". It matches the Rfam family "Bacterial small subunit ribosomal RNA", at positions 28 to 507 of the family's 1533-position model. The record is from RNAcentral.